Molecule: unclassified non-coding RNA, 250 nt
Filed under: plant metagenome
Description: partial contains small subunit ribosomal RNA and internal transcribed spacer 1
Rfam family: Eukaryotic small subunit ribosomal RNA (bases 1-46)
Source: RNAcentral
AAGUCGUAACAAGGUUUCCGUAGGUGAACCUGCGGAAGGAUCAUUACUGAGAGGAGGGGCUUCGCGCUCCCCGGGGGGUUCUCCGGCCCCCAACUCUUCACCCAUUGUUAUCUACCUCUGUGCUUUGGCGGGGCCUUGGGGUUCGCCCCGCGUCCGGCUUUCGGGACCUAGUGAGCGCUCGUCCAGUGGCCCCAUUAAAUUCCCGUCCUAAUCCGGUAUUUAUCAGAUCGAAACCACAAUAGCAAAAAAC